Molecule: ribosomal RNA, 482 nt
Filed under: uncultured bacterium
Lineage: Bacteria
Description: partial 16S ribosomal RNA
Rfam family: Bacterial small subunit ribosomal RNA
Source: RNAcentral
AUUGAACGCUGGCGGCAUGCUUUACACAUGCAAGUCGAACGGUAACAGCACUUCGGUGGCUGACGAGUGGCGAACGGGUGAGUAAUACAUCGGAACGUGCCUAGUAGUGGGGGAUAACUACUCGAAAGAGUAGCUAAUACCGCAUGAGAUCUAAGGAUGAAAGCAGUGGACCUUCGGGCCUUGCGCUACUAGAGCGGCUGAUGGCAGAUUAGGUAGUUGGUGGGGUAAAAGCUUACCAAGCCGACGAUCUGUAGCUGGUCUGAGAGGACGACCAGCCACACUGGGACUGAGACACGGCCCAGACUCCUACGGGAGGCAGCAGUGGGGAAUUUUGGACAAUGGGCGCAAGCCUGAUCCAGCAAUGCCGCGUGCAGGAUGAAGGCCUUCGGGUUGUAAACUGCCUUUGUACGGAACGAAAAGCCCUCUUCUAAUACAGGAGGGUCAUGACGGUACCGUAAGAAUAAGCACCGGCUAACUACGUG